UGAGGAAUAUUGGUCAAUGGGCGAGAGCCUGAACCAGCCAAGUAGCGUGCAGGAUGACGGCCCUAUGGGUUGUAAACUGCUUUUACGCGGGGAUAAAGUGCGUGACGUGUCGCGCAUCGCAGGUACCGCGUGAAUAAGGACCAGCUAAUUCCGUUCCAGCAGCCGCGGUAAUACGGAAGGUCCGGGCGUUAUCCGGAUUUAUUGGGUUUAAAGGGAGCGCAGGCCGCCCGAUAAGCGUGUUGUGAAAUGUACCGGCUCAACCGGUGAGUUGCAGCGCGAACUGUCAGGCAUGAGUGCACGGUAAGCAGGCGGAAUUCAUGGUGUAGCGGUGAAAUGCUUAGAUAUCAUGAGGAACUCCGAUUGCGAAGGCAGCUUGCUGCAGUGCGACUGACGCUUAGGCUCGAAGGUGCGGGUAUCAAACAGG
RNAcentral lists this ribosomal RNA (424 nucleotides) under Verrucomicrobiota bacterium. RNAcentral's name for it is "Verrucomicrobia bacterium partial 16S ribosomal RNA". It matches the Rfam family "Bacterial small subunit ribosomal RNA", at positions 355 to 776 of the family's 1533-position model. Lineage: Bacteria; Pseudomonadati; Verrucomicrobiota. The record is from RNAcentral.